Molecule: ribosomal RNA, 648 nt
Filed under: uncultured bacterium
Lineage: Bacteria
Description: bacterial SSU rRNA
Rfam family: Bacterial small subunit ribosomal RNA
Source: RNAcentral
GUAAUGCGAAGGUAACCAACCCUGAAGUUGGGCAUAGCCGCGGGAAACUGCGGGUAAUUCCCAGCGACGUUGCGGGAUGGCAUCAUUUUGCAACCAAAGGUGUGAUUCCGCUUUAGGACGGGCCUUCGUGGUAUUAGGUAGUUGGUGAGGUAACGGCUCACCAAGCCUACGAUGCCUACCGGGUGUGAGAGCAUGACCCGGCACACUGGAACUGAGACACUGUCCAGACACCUACGGGUGGCUGCAGUCGAGAAUCUUCGGCAAUGGGCGAAAGCCUGACCGAGCGACGCCGCGUGAGGGAUUGAAGGCCUUCGGGUUGUAAACCUCUUUCGUAGAGGAGGAAGGGGCUGUGAAGAACAGUCCUUGACCUAUUCUAGGAAGAAGCUUGGGCUAAGUUCGUGCCAGCAGCCGCGGUAAGACGAACCAAGCGAACGUUAUUCGGAAUUACUGGGCUUAAAGCGCGUGUAGGCGGACUACCACGUUGGUUGUUGAAAUCCCCCGGCUUAACCGGGGAACUGGCACCAAUACGAGUAGUCUGGAGGUGGGUAGGGGAGACUGGAACUUCCGGUGGAGCGGUGAAAUGCGUUGAGAUCGGAAGGAACGCCCGCGGCGAAAGCGAGUCUCUGGACCCAUACUGACGCUGAGACG